ACACAUAUUGUUGUGAUGAUCAGUAUCCUACAGUAUUCAGAGAAGGAAGGAGGUAAAAUAAAAAAAAAGACAGCAACAGCAGGAGGACUCAAUCUCGUUCUGGUUCUUGUUCUUGUUCUUGUUCUUAUUCU
RNAcentral lists this non-coding RNA (131 nucleotides) under Fragilariopsis kerguelensis. The record is from RNAcentral. Lineage: Eukaryota; Bacillariophyta; Bacillariophyceae; Bacillariales; Bacillariaceae.